This 474-nucleotide long non-coding RNA is filed under the name Monodelphis domestica (gray short-tailed opossum). Its description in RNAcentral is "lncRNA (ENSMODG00000044914.1)". The record is from RNAcentral. Lineage: Eukaryota; Metazoa; Chordata; Mammalia; Didelphimorphia; Didelphidae.
AUGCAUAUAUGAGAAAAUGAUGUAAAGAUGCAUUGAGAACACAGAGUACCUCACAAAAUGCACAGGUCAAGAUAAAAUACUUCAUUUUUGUGCCACUUAGAAUCUAAGCAUGAAGAAGGCAAUGCUCCUCUGAGGAAAUGGACAACACCAGGAGGGUUUUUACUUGACCUGGAAUGCAUCCCUCCCCCCACCCAACUCUGCCUCCUAGAAUCCCCAACUUCUUUCAGAAAUCUCCUACGUGUUAGCUACUAUAAGGGGACUAUUCAAAUUCCUUGAGUUGCCACUGUCUCCUGAAGAGAAUUGAAAACAUAUGGCAUUUGUUUUAGAAUUUAACCUGUAAAUAUAUUUCAUGUACAUUGUUUUUUGCAUAUUCUCUCUUCCAUAAUGCCAUGAGCUCCUUGAAUACAGAGACUGGUUUUGCCUGCUUUUCAUAUCCUGGUUCCUGGCAUAUAGUAAUUGCUUAAUAAAGUUUGU